This 460-nucleotide ribosomal RNA is filed under the name uncultured Thauera sp. RNAcentral's name for it is "bacterial SSU rRNA". It matches the Rfam family "Bacterial small subunit ribosomal RNA", at positions 920 to 1382 of the family's 1533-position model. The record is from RNAcentral. Lineage: Bacteria; Pseudomonadati; Pseudomonadota; Betaproteobacteria; Rhodocyclales; Zoogloeaceae.
CCCGGCACAAGCGGUGGAUGAUGUGGAUUAAUUCGAUGCAACGCGAAAACCUUACCUACCCUUGACAUGUCUGGAACCUUGGUGAGAGCCGAGGGUGCCUUCGGGAGCCAGAACACAGGUGCUGCAUGGCUGUCGUCAGCUCGUGUCGUGAGAUGUUGGGUUAAGUCCCGCAACGAGCGCAACCCUUGUCACUAGUUGCCAUCAUUUAGUUGGGCACUCUAGUGAGACUGCCGGUGACAAACCGGAGGAAGGUGGGAUGACGUCAAGUCCUCAUGGCCCUUAUGGGUAGGGCUUCACACGUCAUACAAUGGUCGGUACAGAGGGUUGCCAAGCCGCGAGGUGGAGCCAAUCCUGAAAGCAGGCCUCAGUUCAGAUUGCAGUCUGCAACUCGACUGCAUGAAGCCGGAGUUGCUAGUAACCGCAGGUCAGCAAUACUGCGGUGAAUACGUUCCCGGGUCUU